This 253-nucleotide ribosomal RNA is filed under the name uncultured bacterium. RNAcentral's name for it is "partial 16S ribosomal RNA". It matches the Rfam family "Bacterial small subunit ribosomal RNA", at positions 524 to 776 of the family's 1533-position model. The record is from RNAcentral.
UACGUAGGCAGCGAGCGUUGUUCGGAGUUACUGGGCGUAAAGAGUGCGUAGGCGGUUUUCUAAGUUUGGUGUGAAAUCCCCCGGCUUAACCUGGGAACUGCGUCUGAUACUGGAAGGCUUGAGUAUGGGAGAGGGAUGUAGAAUUCCAGGUGUAGCGGUGAAAUGCGUAGAUAUCUGGAGGAAUACCGGUGGCGAAGGCGGCAUCCUGGACCAUUACUGACGCUGAGGCGCGAAAGCUAGGGGAGCAAACGGG